AGAGUUUGAUCAUGGCUCAGAAUGAACGCUGGCGGCGUGCUUAACACAUGCAAGUCGUGCGCGAAGGUGGCUUCGGCUGCCGGAGAGCGGCGAACGGGUGAGUAACACGUGGGUAAUCUACCUGGGAGCGGGGGAUAACCUGGGGAAACUCGGGCUAAUACCGCAUACGUUGUUCGGAGUAGAUCUGAACAAGAAAACUGGCCUCUGCUUGCAAGCUAGUGUUCCCAGAGGAGCCCGCGGCUGAUUAGCUAGUUGGUGGGGUAAUGGCCCACCAAGGCGACGAUCAGUAGCCGGCCUGAGAGGGUGAUCGGCCACACUGGGACUGAGACACGGCCCAGACUCCUACGGGAGGCAGCAGUGGGGAAUAUUGGACAAUGGGCGCAAGCCUGAUCCAGCAACGCCGCGUGGAGGACGAAGGUCUUCGGAUCGUAAACUCCUGUCAGACGGGACGAAGGUAACAGGGUAAACAAUCCUGUUGCUUGACGGUACUGUCAGAGGAAGCCCCGGCUAACUCCGUGCCAGCAGCCGCGGUAAUACGGAGGGGGCGAGCGUUAUUCGGAAUUAUUGGGCGUAAAGGGCGCGUAGGCGGCUUGACAAGUCAAAGGUGAAAUCCCUCGGCUCAACUGAGGAACUGCCUUUGAAACUGUCAGGCUUGAGGCCGGGAGGGGGUAGCGGAAUUCCCAGUGUAGCGGUGAAAUGCGUAGAUAUUGGGAGGAACACCAGUGGCGAAGGCGGCUACCUGGACCGGUUCUGACGCUGAUGCGCGAAAGCGUGGGUAGCAAACAGGAUUAGAUACCCUAGUAGUCC
Molecule: ribosomal RNA, 807 nt
Filed under: uncultured bacterium
Lineage: Bacteria
Description: bacterial SSU rRNA
Rfam family: Bacterial small subunit ribosomal RNA
Source: RNAcentral